UAGCAUAUCAAUAAGCGGAGGAAAAAGAAACCAACAGGGAUUGCCCCCAGUAACGGCGAAGUGAAGCGGCAACAGCUCAAAUUUGAAAUCUGGCCCCCCAGGGUCCGAGUUGUAAUUUGCAGAGGAUGCUUUUGGCAAGGUGCCUUCCGAGUUCCCUGGAACGGGACGCCAUAGAGGGUGAGAGCCCCGUCUGGUUGGAUACCGAGCCUCUGUAAAGCUCCUUCGACGAGUCGAGUAGUUUGGGAAUGCUGCUCUAAAUGGGAGGUAUAUGUCUUCUAAAGCUAAAUAUUGGCCAGAGACCGAUAGCGCACAAGUAGAGUGAUCGAAAGAUGAAAAGCACUUUGAAAAGAGGGUUAAAUAGUACGUGAAAUUGUUGAAAGGGAAGCGCUCAUGACCAGACUUGGGCCCGGUGAAUCAUCCAGCGCUCGUCGCUGGUGCACUUUGCCGGGCUCAGGCCAGCAUCAGUUCGCUCCGGGGGACAAAGGCUCUGGGAAUGUGGCUCCUCCGGGAGUGUUAUAGCCCACUGCGCAAUACCCUGGGGCGGACUGAGGUUCGCGCAUUCGUGCAAGGAUGCUGGCGUAAUGGUCAUCAGUGACCCGUCUUGAAACACGGACCAAGGAGUCGUCUUCGUAUGCAAGUGUUCGGGUGUAAAACCCCUACGCGUAAUGAAAGUGAACGCAGGUGAGAGCUUCGGCGCAUCAUCGACCGAUCCUGAUGUUCUCGGAUGGAUUUGAGUAAGAGCAUACGGGGCCGGACCCGAAAGAAGGUGAACUAUGCCUGUAUAGGGUGAAGCCAGAGGAAACUCUGGUGGAGGCUCGCAGCGGUUCUGACGUGCAAAUCGAUCGUCAAAUAUGGGCAUGGGGGCGAAAGACUAAUCGAACCUUCUAGUAGCUGGUU
RNAcentral lists this ribosomal RNA (897 nucleotides) under Keithomyces carneus. Its description in RNAcentral is "partial large subunit ribosomal RNA". It matches the Rfam family "Eukaryotic large subunit ribosomal RNA", at positions 36 to 956 of the family's 3401-position model. The record is from RNAcentral. Lineage: Eukaryota; Fungi; Ascomycota; Sordariomycetes; Hypocreales; Clavicipitaceae.